This is a long non-coding RNA of Microplitis mediator, 416 nucleotides long. RefSeq lists it as uncharacterized. The transcript has 3 exons. NCBI's taxonomy places the organism in Eukaryota, Metazoa, Arthropoda, Insecta, Hymenoptera, Braconidae. The record is from RefSeq and is a predicted model, not a curated record.
UCUACGCUUGACCAACAUCUCUCGUCUACGUCCCCAGUUUUUAAUUAAUUUGAAGCAUUUAAUCGAGCUGACAACAGCUAAAUAAUAGUCAAUUAGCUGCAUAAAGUCCUUACGAGUAUAUUGAGAUAAUAAUUUUCAUAAAUUGGACGAGGCUGAAAUUGAUCAUAAAUAUUCAUGUCGGGGUCCAGGACAUCAAAGUUUAAUGACGCAGCAACGGCUCCAACAAAAAAAACAUGGCCGCUGGUGGCGCUGGAAUGUUGGGAUUUUGUUAGAAAAAAAUGGCGUAGCAAGUGUUUAUUUAAAUUAAUUAGUGAGUUUGUGUUUAAUAAGGUAGUGAGUUCAGUGAAUUAGUGAUUCAGUGAGGCAGUGAAUUUAUUCAUCUAUCAUUGUACUGAAGUUAGCCGACGUCUAAUAAU